GGGAUUUCACAAAGUGUGGAGUACAGACACAACAUUUACAAGGAUGGCACAGGGGAAGGACCUUGCUCAGAAGUGGUAGGAGUUAGUACCAACAAGAGAGAGAUGCAAAAGAAAGGGCUAGGUGGAAUAUCCGGUGAUGGAGGCCUCAGAAGUUGGAUCCAAAGGACUAGGAGAUUGCAAUGCCCGUUGUACCAGAGUUUCAUCAUGAAAGUCGUCUGUUCUUUGCUGGUAAUUUCUACAUGUUUAUUUAUUUAUUUGUUUCCCCCACUUUUUGAAGCUUACUGGUUAGCAGAUGGUUAAACUAACCUUUAAAAGCAUUUUGGAACUUAGCUGACUGUGUUUGUGCUGGUUUAAGUGUCGUGUCCCUGCCGGUUUCAUCCGAGCUGCUCUGACAUGGUGUUCACAGGUUGGUCACCAGUUUCCUCUCUCCUGUGUUUAUAUUUUCAUUUCAAGCAUUUUUAAUUAUUGUUAUUCUAUCAAGAUAUGUGUUGUGUCUUAUUUUGUCAACAUGUAUUGUUUUUGUCAUUUUUAUGUAUGUUUGAUUUGGGGGCUUCCUCCAGGUCUAAUUUGAAAUGGGCUGAAUGCUAGCAGGAAUACAGUUGUAAGCAAAAUAUAAAUAAAUAAAUAAAUACUUUUAAAAAUACAUA
Long non-coding RNA from Protopterus annectens (West African lungfish), 647 nucleotides. RefSeq lists it as uncharacterized. The record is from RefSeq and is a predicted model, not a curated record. NCBI's taxonomy places the organism in Eukaryota, Metazoa, Chordata, Ceratodontiformes, Protopteridae. The transcript is spliced from 3 exons.